GAGUUUGAUCGUGGCUCAGAAUUGAACGCUGGCGGCAUGCCUUACACAUGACAAGUCGAACGGUAACAGGUCUUCGGAUGCUGACGAGUGGCGAACGGGUGAGUAAUACAUCGGAAACGUGCCCGAUCGUGGGGGAUAACGAAGCGAAAGCUUUGCUAAUACCGCAUACGAUCUACGGAUGAAAGCAGGGGACCGCAAGGCCUUGCGCGAACGGAGCGGCCGAUGGCAGAUUAGGUAGUUGGUGGGAUAAAAGCUUACCAAGCCGACGAUCUGUAGCUGGUCUGAGAGGACGACCAGCCACACUGGGACUGAGACACGACCCAGACUCCUACGGGAGGCAGCAGUGGGGAAUUUUGGACAAUGGGCGAAAGCCUGAUCCAGCCAUGCCGCGUGCAGGAUGAAGGCCUUCGGUUGUAACUGCUUUGUUACGGAACG
Molecule: ribosomal RNA, 435 nt
Filed under: uncultured microorganism
Description: bacterial SSU rRNA
Rfam family: Bacterial small subunit ribosomal RNA
Source: RNAcentral